RNAcentral lists this ribosomal RNA (318 nucleotides) under uncultured Prevotella sp. Its description in RNAcentral is "partial 16S ribosomal RNA". The record is from RNAcentral. Lineage: Bacteria; Pseudomonadati; Bacteroidota; Bacteroidia; Bacteroidales; Prevotellaceae.
GGAGUUUGGACCGUGUCUCAGUUCCAAUGUGGGGGACCUUCCUCUCAGAACCCCUACUGAUCGAUGGCUCGGUGGGCCGUUACCCCGCCGACUACCUAAUCAGACGCAUCCCCAUCCCCUAGCGGUAAACCUUUGGUAUUCGUCAGAUGUCCUCAAAAUACAACAUAGGGUAUUAAUCCGAUUUUCACCGGGCUAUGCCCUACUGGGGGGAAGGUUGGAUACGCGUUACUCACCCGUGCGCCGGUCGCCGGCGGAAGUAUUGCUACCUCCCCGCUGCCCCUCGACUUGCAUGUGUUAAGCCUGUCGCUAGCGUUCAUC